GACGAACGCUGGCGGCGUGCCUAAUACAUGCCAGUCGAGCGGACGAAUCGAAAGCUUGCUUUUGAUUCGUUAGCGGCGGACGGGUGAGUAACACGUGGGCAACCUGCCCUGUAGACGGGGAUAACACCGAGAAAUCGGUGCUAAUACCGGAUAACACGAAAUGUCGCAUGACGUUUCGUUGAAAGACGGCGCAAGCUGUCGCUACAGGAUGGGCCCGCGGCGCAUUAGCUAGUUGGUGAGGUAACGGCUCACCAAGGCGACGAUGCGUAGCCGACCUGAGAGGGUGAUCGGCCACACUGGAACUGAGACACGGCCCAGACUCCUACGGGAGGCAGCAGUAAGGAAUCUUCCGCAAUGGACGAAAGUCUGACGAAGCAACGCCGCGUGAGCGAAGAAGGCCUUCGGGUCGUAAAGCUCUGUUGUUAGGGAAGAACAAGUAACGCAGUAACUGGCGUUACCGUGACGGUACCUAACGAGAAAGCCACGGCUAACUACGUG
This 498-nucleotide ribosomal RNA is filed under the name uncultured bacterium. Its description in RNAcentral is "partial 16S ribosomal RNA". It matches the Rfam family "Bacterial small subunit ribosomal RNA", at positions 28 to 507 of the family's 1533-position model. The record is from RNAcentral.